GGGUGCAUAAAGACAUCUGGUGCCGCCAAAAUAUGAAGGCGCAGGUGAAGAUGAUGGAUGAUGGCGUCCUGCGCUUCUGGUGAAGCAUGAUGUACACUAGGAAGAUACAUAGGGCAUGCCCUUUGCCAACCUUGGAUGGAAGCUUAGUGGAGUAGUUUCUUACAUAGUUCCUCUUGCUUUCAUCUCUUCUGUACUUUUCUUUUUCUGUCCCAGUUUCCUUUUGCGUUUAAUAUAUAUGGGUAUGUUUAUUCCUCAGUGGCCAGUAGGUUAAGGUGGAGAGCUGCAGUUUUUGUGCAGGCCCUCUGUAAGUUCAAUGUUGGGUCGCAGAUGAAUAAAGCUAUUCUGUUUAAUUUUCCUCUUUUCUUUGAGGUGUAAUUUUCCUUUCUUGUGGUACUUAUUGAU
This 402-nucleotide long non-coding RNA is filed under the name Triticum aestivum (bread wheat). RNAcentral describes it as "long non-coding RNA (TAES_LNC026020)". Lineage: Eukaryota; Viridiplantae; Streptophyta; Magnoliopsida; Poales; Poaceae. The record is from RNAcentral.